Molecule: unclassified non-coding RNA, 236 nt
Filed under: uncultured Hysteriales
Lineage: Eukaryota; Fungi; Ascomycota; Dothideomycetes
Description: sequence contains ITS2
Source: RNAcentral
AACGCACAUUGCGCCCUUUGGUAUUCCGAGGGGCACGCCUGUUCGAGCGUCAUUUAAACCAUCAAGCCCAGCUUGGUCUUGGACGCGGUCAAGUGACCCGUCCGUAACCCGUUGGCGGUGCAGUCCGGCUUCAAGCGUAGCAAAAAUUUCGCUUCAGGAGUCCGCGGCGGUGCCCGCCAGGUAACAACAUCCCAAAGUUUGACCUCGGAUCAGGUGAGGAUACCCGCUGAACUUAA